Long non-coding RNA from Ipomoea nil (Japanese morning glory), 461 nucleotides. RefSeq lists it as uncharacterized. The transcript is spliced from 3 exons. The record is from RefSeq and is a predicted model, not a curated record. Lineage: Eukaryota; Viridiplantae; Streptophyta; Magnoliopsida; Solanales; Convolvulaceae.
AUCAGCUCUAUCAACAUCGGCAAUUAGUUCAAUAAAUUUAGUAAUGGAUUUUGCCAAGACGACAACGGACGGUUGGGUCGAAUGCAUAAAGGUGAAAGAUGACGUGAUCCUCAAGAUAACAGAGGACAAACAUUCAAUCCGAUGGUUCUGCGAGUGACCCAGUGCCACCUUCUCGGAACAUUGAUGCUGCGUUCAUAGAUCAACUAACUAAAAUGAACGAGGAAUUUAAUACCAGAAGUUAAAUUUGAAAAGGCCUUACUCUUUGAAGUCAAAGGGUUGAACAAGGAUGUGUUGAUUCUCACCUCUCCCCUGAACGCGCUUAUCGAAAACAUUUCAGAUUGUACACUUUGAAAGAAUCUUGCUCCACCCUUGUCCAGCUCUGGGAAGCAGCCCUUAGGAUGUCAGGCCCCUCCAAUUAGGAGGCUUUACCUAAGAACUGCUUUCCGUUUUUGAAAUCUGAU